GUCCCCAUCGUCUAGAGGCCUAGGACAUUACCCUUUCACGGUAAGGACACGAGUUCGAAUCUCGUUGGGGACACCA
Molecule: transfer RNA, 76 nt
Filed under: Pseudomonadota bacterium
Lineage: Bacteria; Pseudomonadati; Pseudomonadota
Also listed under: 2 other names
Description: Proteobacteria bacterium tRNA-Glu
Rfam family: tRNA
About the family: Transfer RNA (tRNA) molecules are approximately 80 nucleotides in length. Their secondary structure includes four short double-helical elements and three loops (D, anti-codon, and T loops).
Source: RNAcentral